CUUCUGUAACAUCCAGCUGAAGACUACCUUUGAUAGAUUUGAUGUUUCAGGGAACAAGGACUGUCGCCAGAAUGUUUUCUGCCACUCACUCAGUUCUGGUCAUCUUCUUAAUACUUGGAGGGACCAAUGGUGACUCAGUGAACCAGACAGAAGGCCCAGUGACUGUCUUAGAGGGGGCUCUCAUGACCCUGAACUGCACUUACCAGACCAUGUAUUCAGAUCCCUAUCUUUUUUGUGUCUUAAAAGUCAAAAGCAUGAAGCUACUUGAGGAUUUGCUCCUGACUGGCUGAGCCCAGCAGAAAGGCUCUCUUGUGCAUUAGAGAAGAACUAAGACACAGGAGCAGCCCCUCAGGGGAGAAGAUUUGGAAUCACUAAAAUUGCAUCAAGAGUGAGGUGGCAGGAUGGAGAACAUGCUGGAAUGUGCAUUCAUGGUCUUGUGGCUUCAGCUUGGAUGGCUGCGUGGAGAAGACCGAGUGGAGCAGAGUCCUCAGACCCUGAGAACCCAGGAGGGGGGCAGUCUCAGCCUCAACUGCAGCCACACCGUCAGCGGUUUCAGAGGGCUACAGUGGUAUAGACAAGACCCCGGGAAGGGCCCUGAACUCCUCUUCCUUCUUAACUCAGCUGGGGAUGAAAAGCAGAAAGAAAGACUGAGAGCCACCUUGUUAAAGAAGGGAAGUUCUCUGCACAUCGAAGCCCCCAAACCCGAAGACUCAGCCACUUACCUCUGCGCUGUGCAGACACAGUGCUCCCCAGGCACCUGCAGACAGUACCCAAACCCUGAGGCUGCGGCUCUAGAAUAAGGGCGUCUUUGCUGUUUUCCUUCCUCCCGAGCACCCAGAGCCUCUUCCCAAGUGG
Cervus elaphus (red deer) is the source of this 855-nucleotide non-coding RNA. The record is from the annotation of a RefSeq genome assembly. NCBI's taxonomy places the organism in Eukaryota, Metazoa, Chordata, Mammalia, Artiodactyla, Cervidae.